CGGGUGAACUUUUGAACUGUCAAAAAAGUGAUAGUAAUCAAAACAUUGGCUGCUCCUUGAAGCGCGAAGAAAUAAUUUUAUAAAGUUUUGUGAUAUAUAUCAUUAUUUUGACGAUUAUCAUGGAACAACAAGAUGCUGGGCAUAUAAAUAUUGUAAAGGUCACGAUUUCACUUGGCCAGGUUUUUGACUAUGUUGGGGAUUCCGUGAAACCUUUGCGAGAAGGCCAAAAUGUAUUCGAUUCUGGUCACAUCAUUUGCAUAGGCUACACAAAAAAAAUUGCAGGAUUAUCUGGAGUUGACGUCAUAUGUGCUACAGAGCUCUCGCCCAGCAGAUGUUCCGCAUGAGCUACGUUUGAAGAUCGGAUCAGACUACCGCAAAUGGUCACUGUGCUGUUCCUGCGAGGCUGGAACAUCCCGAUGCAAGCAUAUUAUUGCUUGUCUUCUGCACCUGUGCCAAUUCAGAUCGGUUGAAUUUAUGACGUGCACGGAUUCCCGACAAGCUUGGGGUAGGAGUAGAGCUGAAAUCAUCCAAUGGAACGCAAAACCACUGAUGCAACUGUGUUGUAUUCGACAGCACCCAGUCGUUACUCCGGUUGAUACAUUAAAUAAGCAAGAGCUUCUUCAGCAGGCCUUCGACCGAGUGAAGUCAUGAAGUUGAACGUCCAUAACAUGAUUUUUUUUGUAUAUAGCAUCUCCGAGUUCAGCGAUCCAGAAACACAUCUGU
Long non-coding RNA from Armigeres subalbatus, 723 nucleotides. RefSeq lists it as uncharacterized. Lineage: Eukaryota; Metazoa; Arthropoda; Insecta; Diptera; Culicidae. The record is from RefSeq and is a predicted model, not a curated record. The transcript has 3 exons.